GAGGCCUACCAUGGUGGUAACGGGUAACGGGGUGUUAGGGCACGACACCGGAGAGGGAGCCUGAGAAACGGCUACCACAUCCAAGGAUGGCAGCAGGCGCGCAAAUUACCCAAUCCCGACACGGGGAGGUAGUGACAAUAAAUAACAAUACGGGGUUCUUUCGGAUCUCGUAAUUGGAAUGAGUACAAUUUAAAUCUCUUAACGAGGAACAAUUGGAGGGCAAGUCUGGUGCCAGCAGCCGCGGUAAUUCCAGCUCCAAUAGCGUAUAUUAAAGUUGUUGCAGUUAAAAAGCUCGUAGUUGAAUUUCGGGGUUAGUAGGUUGGUCAUGCCUCUGGUAUGUACUGAUCUCACUGAUUCCUCCUUCCUGAUGAACCGUAAUGCCAUUAAUUUGGUGUUGCGGGGAAUUUGGACUGUUACUUUGAAAAAAUUAGAGUGUUUAAAGCAAGCUAACGCUUGAAUACAUUAGCAUGGAAUAAUGAAAUAGGACGUUCGAUCCUAUUUUGUUGGUUUCUAGGAUUGACGUAAUGAUUAAUAGGGAUAGUUGGGGGCAUUAGUAUUCAAUUGUCAGAGGUGAAAUUCUUGGAUUUAUUGAAGACUAACUACUGCGAAAGCAUUUGCCAAGGAUGUUUUCAUUAAUCAAGAACGAAAGUUAGGGGAUCGAAGACGAUCAGAUACCGUCGUAGUCUUAACCAUAAACUAUGCCGACUAGGGAUCGGA
This 717-nucleotide ribosomal RNA is filed under the name uncultured fungus. Its description in RNAcentral is "SSU rRNA". It matches the Rfam family "Eukaryotic small subunit ribosomal RNA", at positions 336 to 1057 of the family's 1831-position model. Lineage: Eukaryota; Fungi. The record is from RNAcentral.